AAAGUGCGAUAAGCAAUGCGAAUUGCAGAAUUCCGCGAAUCAUCAGAUCCUUGAACGCAACUGGCGCUAGGAUGCUCUCCUCCUAGCAUGUCUGUUUCAGUGUCUGCAAACAUCAUACCUACUAAUCUUAAUGUGGUUGACCAAGGAGAGGUGAUAUCAUAUUGGUCCUUCUCUACUCGGAGUCUUCCAUUAAAGAUGUUGUGUGUUGUUGGGUCUUUAGGGACUCCUCAUCGGUUUUCUUGGUCACUGUCCUUCAGUGAUUUAAUCGGUGAAGUGAGCUUAAUUACCCUGAAUGAAUUAAAAGACACACAAGAACCUUCUGGUAGUAGUUGUCAAAAAAACUAAAACUACCUAGUCUUCCAACUCUGCAUCUGAAAUCAGGCAAGAUCACCCGCUGAAC
Molecule: unclassified non-coding RNA, 400 nt
Filed under: uncultured fungus
Lineage: Eukaryota; Fungi
Description: sequence contains ITS1
Rfam family: 5.8S ribosomal RNA (bases 1-105)
Source: RNAcentral